GACAGAGGUGCCAAGCGUUAGGCGGAAUCACUGGCUUAAGGCGUGUGUAGGCGGGUGCCUAAGUACCUUGUGAAAUCCCCCGGCUCAACCGGGGAACUGCUGGGUAUACUGGGUGCCUUGGGUCAUCUAGGGGCUGCCGGAACAAAUGGUGGAGCGGUGAAAUGCGUAGAUAUCAUUUGGAACGCCAACGGCGAAAGCAGGCAGCUGGGGAUGCACCGACGCUGAGACACGAAAGCCAGGGGAGCGAACGGG
RNAcentral lists this ribosomal RNA (252 nucleotides) under uncultured bacterium. RNAcentral's name for it is "partial 16S ribosomal RNA". It matches the Rfam family "Bacterial small subunit ribosomal RNA", at positions 524 to 776 of the family's 1533-position model. The record is from RNAcentral.